UGACCAUGAUAGGUAAGGGGAAACAAGGAAAAGAGAAGAACAACCUUGGUGCAUGUAUUCUAUACUGUGAUACUUCAAUUUAGGAGUCUAGGGGGGCUGAUUAAGUGGUACUUAGGCUCAAAAGAAAAAGGAGCUUGAUUGACUAAGUUAUUUGUUGCUUGAGGACAAGCAAAAAGCUAGGUGUGGGGGUAUUUGAUCAAGCAUAAUUUAGCCAGAUUUUUAUCAUAAUUAUUAUUGUUUAUUUACACAUUUUUUACUUUAAUUUAUGGUUUUU
This 274-nucleotide long non-coding RNA is filed under the name Manihot esculenta (cassava). Its description in RNAcentral is "long non-coding RNA (MESC_LNC010206)". Lineage: Eukaryota; Viridiplantae; Streptophyta; Magnoliopsida; Malpighiales; Euphorbiaceae. The record is from RNAcentral.